GACGAACGCUGGCGGCGUGCUUAACACAUGCAAGUCGAACGGAAAGGCCCUGCUUUUGUGGGGUGCUCGAGUGGCGAACGGGUGAGUAACACGUGAGUAACCUGCCCUUGACUUUGGGAUAACUUCAGGAAACUGGGGCUAAUACCGGAUAGGAGCUCCUGCUGCAUGGUGGGGGUUGGAAAGUUUCGGCGGUUGGGGAUGGACUCGCGGCUUAUCAGCUUGUUGGUGGGGUAGUGGCUUACCAAGGCUUUGACGGGUAGCCGGCCUGAGAGGGUGACCGGCCACAUGGGGACUGGGAUACGGCCCAGACUCCUACGGGGGGCAGGGGGGGGGAAUAUUGAAAAAGGGGGGGAAGCCUGAGGCAGAAACGCCGGGUGCGGGAUGACGGCCUUCGGGUUGUAAACCGCUUUCGCCUGUGACGAAGCGGGAGUGACGGUAAUGGGUAAAGAAGCACCGGCUAACUACGU
This 467-nucleotide ribosomal RNA is filed under the name uncultured bacterium. Its description in RNAcentral is "partial 16S ribosomal RNA". It matches the Rfam family "Bacterial small subunit ribosomal RNA", at positions 28 to 506 of the family's 1533-position model. The record is from RNAcentral.